CUUUCCAACCUGGCUGUCUCAAAGGGAACCAGAUUAUGCAAGGCUUUGUGUUCCAGCUUAGGCUAAACCAAGAACAACUUUAUCCUAAGGUCAAGAGGAAAUAUUUGAUAGGUUCUAAAGAAGGGAGGAGGAAACUGAGACCCAGGCAGAAGAAUUUGUUCUUCAAACUGCGAAAGCAGAGCUACCCCAAUUCAUCCACACACAUAGUAUUUCAGAGAAAAAAAGAAAACCCUAUGAUGGCAAGCAGUCAUAAGGAUGAAUGACAGAGUGGCUUGAUC
RNAcentral lists this long non-coding RNA (278 nucleotides) under Homo sapiens (human). RNAcentral's name for it is "HSALNT0346155". The record is from RNAcentral. Lineage: Eukaryota; Metazoa; Chordata; Mammalia; Primates; Hominidae.